GAAAGCGCAGGAGAAGGGCAGCGCCGUCAAUCCUGCAAGAGCACACAGGCACACACGCACAUCUCGCCAUUACUCAUGUCGGUGUUCCCCGGCCUGUGUGGCGAUGUGGCGACAACGAACUACCGUGUCUUUUUGGGCACGUUGCCGAACCUCGCCGUUGAAGAGCGCUUUUUGCGUCAGGUGCAGCCAGUGUUUCCGUGGUACGCGUCACGCAAGCACGUGAAGGAGCAGGCCAGCGAGUUUCUUGAGAUCGACCUCGCUUCCUGUGACCCGGAGCUGCUGCUGCGCUACACCCAUGUCUACUACGUGAGACGGCAGCUGUACGACGAGCUGGUGGAUCGACAGCUGACACUGAUGGAGACUGGCAAGGCGGCCAAGGUGGCCGACAGUGCACUGCUCACGUGCCUUGCGCAGGUGAAUGCGGCCAUCACGCCUCGCUUGCAAUACGAGCUGCACCUUCUGCAGCAGGCCAAGAAGGCGUGUCGGGUGCCGCGGCGUCGUGAGCUGAACCCUGACGCCGCUCUCGAGGCACAUGACUACCUGUGCAUGAUGCGUGUUGUGGAAGAGGACGUGGCUGGGGUACCGGAUGCGGAAAUGCAAGCCCGCGCGUACCUGCCGCGCGAGGUGCUGGAGGCAAAGGUAAAGGAGCUGGCGGCCAUGGUCUUUGGCGACGGCGGCUCUGCCACGAAGGGCACAGGUGCAGCGCUGGAGAGGAAAGAACAGAAGCUACUGCAGCGCAUGAUCCCGGCCGACUACAACAAGGUAGGCGCCGUGGAAAAGCUCCGUCCUGUCGACGUCACAGCCCUGUAUCGCUUCACCGGCGAGCGGGUGUGUGGGUGGCCAGCAGACAAGCCGUUCUCGCGCGCGCUGUGGGGGCACGUCUUCCGGAAGGUGGGGUCGCACCCCCUGUACCUGCAGCGGGCCUCCCUCUACUGGGCACGGCACAGCGGUCUUGACCCGCAGUCGGCUACCUCGACGAUGCCAGCCGACCUCGCGACUGCGGUGUGUGUGCAGCAAACGCUGUUCCCCGCCCUGAAGUACCGCUGCCAGUAUUUGUACACCUCCCCGGAUAUAGCGCGACAGCAGUGGCGCACAGGCCAUGUCGUGCCGCUGUUGCGCCUGUUUCCUCUCCUUGGGGCCCCUGCCGCCGAGGACCUCGCUGCUCAGCUGGUCGUCGAGGGCGAGUGGGCCAAGCUAGGCAUCGAGGCGGACACCAACCUGCUGCAGGACACGGUGCUGCGGCAGCUGAAGGAUAUGGUUGAGCAGGUGAGCGCGUUGUAUGAGAGCGACGCCGGCGCGGUGCUGAAGCGUGUGGAGGAUGGGGCGAAGGUAUUCUGCCCGUCUCUCUCGGAGCGGGAGUCGCUAACCAUGCGUGGCGUACCCGAAGACACUAGCAGAGAGGUAUCCGCAGCUGCUGCUGCAAGGGCGGCGAACGCGGCGCCAGCGUAAGGAUGCGUGAGGGUUGAGCAGGGAUGGUGCGCAGUCACACCCAUGCGCGCCGCUGAGAAGAGACAGCGGAAAGAAGUUGAGCGCGCGUGAAUCGGGGUGUUGUUGAGGACUUUGUUGUAUGUAUCCCGCGGCGAUGGGUUGACGCGUCCGCAGGUGAGGCGAGCGCUCGCUGAUUGCUGAUUGCGCUUUCACACAAAGGGAGGUCCACACGCCUACAUGCGGGUGGCGCGCGCAGCCGCUGUGGCAGCCUCCCUUCCUCCCUCCCCCUCCCUCCGUCUAGGGCAUGGGUACAGACGGAAAGAGAAAUAAGAGACAAGCUGCGUGCAUGUGGCACACACGAAAACUCAUGCACAAAUAAACACGCGAGAGCGCGAAGAUGGCUGAAUCAGUUGCGUUGGAAAGGGGCGAGGAGAAGGCGACCAUCUGUGCCCUCGUCGGCUUCUCAUCGUGGGCCGUGCUUCUGUAGCUGUGGUUUCGUUUUUUCUGAACUUCGAGCAGGCUUCAUAUGGACGUGGACGACCUUCUCUCUUUCUCUCUCUCCUGCCUGCCACCAUUGCGCCCUUGCGCACUUCCUCCUUCCUCUUCAAUGCCUUCACUAUUACGAUGGUCUCUCCUUCGCCUCUUUUCUGGUCAUUAUCGGGUGGCGCACCCGCUGUCAG
RNAcentral lists this unclassified non-coding RNA (2108 nucleotides) under Leishmania donovani. RNAcentral's name for it is "gene:LdHU3.30.3870(CDS-product:hypothetical_prote in_conserved)". The record is from RNAcentral. Lineage: Eukaryota; Euglenozoa; Kinetoplastea; Trypanosomatida; Trypanosomatidae.